AGAACGAACGCUGGCGGCAGGCCUAACACAUGCAAGUCGAACGCUCGUAGCAAUACGAGAGUGGCAGACGGGUGAGUAACGCGUGGGAACCUUCCCAGUGGUACGGAAUAGCUCAGGGAAACUUGAGGUAAUACCGUAUACGCCCUUCGGGGGAAAGAUUUAUCGCCAUUGGAUGGGCCCGCGUAGGAUUAGCUAGUUGGUGAGGUAACGGCUCACCAAGGCGACGAUCCUUAGCUGGUCUGAGAGGAUGAUCAGCCACACUGGGACUGAGACACGGCCCAGACUCCUACGGGAGGCAGCAGUGGGGAAUAUUGGACAAUGGGCGCAAGCCUGAUCCAGCCAUGCCGCGUGAGUGACGAAGGCCUUAGGGUUGUAAAGCUCUUUUGGCGGGAAGAUAAUGACGGUACCGCAGAAUAAGCUCCGGCUAACUUCGUGCCAGCAGCCGC
Molecule: ribosomal RNA, 446 nt
Filed under: uncultured bacterium
Lineage: Bacteria
Description: SSU rRNA
Rfam family: Bacterial small subunit ribosomal RNA
Source: RNAcentral